RNAcentral lists this long non-coding RNA (2849 nucleotides) under Limulus polyphemus (Atlantic horseshoe crab). RNAcentral's name for it is "uncharacterized LOC111085127, transcript variant X3". Lineage: Eukaryota; Metazoa; Arthropoda; Merostomata; Xiphosura; Limulidae. The record is from RNAcentral.
UGAAAUUAGUGAUCGAAUCACAAUCACUGAUAUGUAGCAGCGGUCAUAAUAUAUUACUAUCGGUAUAAAAUGUACUAUAGAAAGUUAUAAUACGCUAUAACAGUAGAACGUAUAAGUAUUUUUUAAGUAACAGAAGAUUCCAUCUGCUCUGACAUAAGUGUGAAUGCUCUUUCUUAGAAAGUUCAACAUAAAUAAGUAAAAGUUAUCUUAAUUUGCGAAUUCAGAUAUUGAACCCAACACCGUGAAGUGAUAUUAGGACUCUUAAAUGUCAAGGAUAUUGUAGGUCUACACAACUAAAAAUGCCUGUACCUUCAAGUGUAAAGAAAGGAAAUUCUCUUAGUUACCAGAAGAGAGAUUUUGAAAAUGAUCCAAGCAACUAAGUACAAUUUAUCACCACUGGAAAACUGCUAACUAUUCAUGAAAGAUGAAUAUACAAGGCCUUUAACAACAACUUAAGACUAGACUGUCAUCUAAGUGGGAAGACAACUAGCCAGCAGCAUCCUACCACCCAUGCUAAGGGAUUGACUGCAAUUCAUAUAAUGCACCUGGAAGUGUGGAGAAUAUAUUAUUAUAUCACAUGGAUUUGAAUCGGGCUCACCAACUCUGAAAUCCAGGGCUCUACCACUGCAGGGCCAACUUAUGCUCAACAACGAAUAGGAGCAAUGUUUUGGCAAAAUUUCUUCAAGGUUAUAUGGAUAAAUUGUUAACUAUAUUCUCCCCCUUACAUUAAUUUAUAAUAAUUUCUUUACAUUUUCUUGAAGAAUCUAUUUUUUCCCUUAGAAGCCAUGAUCAUUUGUUAAUGGAUCUUAAUGCAAGUGUUUGUUUUCUCUUUUUUUUUUUACAUAGUUUCUAUAAACUAUUAAUUGGUAGUUGAAUAAUAUAAAAAGUUUGUAUUUCUAGCAUCUUUCUAUUGACAUGCUAAUAGUAUUGGUAAUGUUUUACAUUUUGCUCUUUGAUGUUAUGUGCAGUUUAAAAAAUCAUGGUUCACCUUCAAUUACAGAUGGGGUCAAUAUAGAACUGUUCAGAUUUUUAAAUAUUAUUUUUUUUUUUACAUCAGUCCAUCACUUUGAUGAUUAAGAUUCACCCCCCCCCCAAUUCCCAAGCACUUAUAAUGAUCAGUGGAGCAUCUCAGUACUUUCCCUAUGAUGCCUCAAAUAAACAUUAUUCUCCUCAGCCUUUUUAAUGACGCUAUCAUCAUAGAACCUGAUAAUACAUACUUAUAAAUAUAUUAAGUAAAGGCUUAUGGCUCCAUAAGUAAUACAUAGCAAAUCCUGCUUACAAGGAUAUAAAGGUGAAUAAUUUCUAAUAAUGAUAAUUGAUAGUGAAAAUUACUUACACAAGUAUUCCUAAACUUUGGUCAUCCAUGAUAACUAUGGUUUCUUGCAUGUCUCCCCUCUUUUUUUAAAUGAGUGAAACAGUGAGUUAAGUGACAAGAUAUAAUACACAUAUACACAUUAAAAUGCUAUAAGUGUUGCAGAAAUUAUUUAUUAUUUUCAUUGAUAAAAAUAAAUGCUUAAUUCCGCAUUAUUGCACCAGUAACUCUACCCUAAUUACUUUUGCCCUCCUGGGAGGCAUGCCUCAUAAUUUAGAAAAUGCUGUCUUACAACAACAACAACAAAACCACACACACACUACCAAACACUGCACUUAAUUAUGGCUAAAAGAAAGUACAUCUUGCAUGUAGCUUUAGCUUAAAUAAAGUUGACAUUUAUACAGCCAUUCACGAUCUGUGUUUCAUAUUUGUUUACAUGAGAAAGUUCUGGUUCCAAGGUUUAAAAAUUCUUGCCUCCUCCUGAUUUGUGCAGACAUUAUAACAAAAUGUGAUUUAAGUAUUCAUUUGAAAAAUCCAGGUCAGAAAGAGCUUUGGUCUGUAUUUCUCUUACACAUUAGUUAACUUGUAAUAUCUUCUCAUAUAUACACACACAUAAAGCUGUGUCUGUCCAUUAUCUAACUCCUGUGUUGUUGGGCCAAUUUCAACCCACUUUGUGGGAUACUAGUUUGGAAUAAGGGGCAUAUUAAUGGGGGUUAACAAUCCCCUCCACCCCUUAUUAUUGCUGUUAUUGAGCAUUUAUUACUUUUGAUGUAAGUUCACAUUAAUUACAUUCAUAGAUGGCGCCAUGUCUUUACACCAAAAACUUUAUUGAAUUUUCUAUAAAACAACAUAUACACAGUGUGGGAGAGAGCACACAAACAUCUUAUGUAUCUGAGAGAGCGCAGUAGCAUUCUCUAUGAAGGAAUGCAGUGAAAAAAAUGGCCACCACUACUGGAAUACCACAAAAGCUCAGCUGAAGUUUCACCACCAUAAAUAAGGCUGAUAUGAAGAGCCAUUUUUUGAGUUAUACCCACUUCCUACUUUAACCCAUGACCUUUCAACUUCAGCCUGUAAGACACUUAUGCGGCCAAUGACUGUUAAUUAAUUAAUCAUGUGAAACACCACAGAAGGACAUUAAAAGCUGGGUGUUGAAUGUGGGUAACAGAAAGAUUUCAAGCAAAGAUAAGUAAUUUUGAUGUAUUCUUAAUUGAAAUAAGUACUUUUAUUACAAAAAUUGUGUAUUUUUUAGACUGUAAAUGUAACAAUAAUCUAGAGGAUAUGUAUCUUUCAUUACAGUGGGUUCCAGUAGAUAUUCGUACUUGGAUGUGUACUCCUGAAAUGUCACAUUUUUGAGUAGCAUUCUAGGGUGUAUCUUUUCUUCAAAAGUAAGGUAAAAUUGAAACUAGUCGUAAUUUGCAAGAAUUAUCGAUACAACUUUUAUACACGUUUUAGCUUGUUAUUUCACAUGUAAGUGCAAGUUUAAAACUGAAAAAAAGUGUGUACAUUUACCUUCAAUAAUAAAAAGAUGCAACUGUCA